GUGCCAGCCGCCGCGGUAAUACGAAUGGGGCAAGCGUUGUUCGGAUUUACUGGGCGUAAAGCGGGCGUAGGCGGCCGGCUAAGUCGGAUGUGAAAUCCCGGGGCUCAACUCCGGAACUGCAUUCGAUACUGGUCGGCUAGAGUUCGAGAGGGGGAUGCGGAAUUCCGCGUGUAGCAGUGAAAUGCGUAGAUAUGCGGAGGAACACCUGGGGCGAAGGCGGCAUCCUGGAUCGACACUGACGCUGAGGCCCGAAAGCGUGGGGAGCAAACAGGAUUAGAUACCCUGGUAGUCCACACCGUAAACGAUGAAUGCCAGACGUCGGGUAGCAUGCUAUUCGGUGUCACACCUAACGGAUUAAGCAUUCCGCCUGGGGAGUACGGUCGCAAGAUUAAAACUUAAAUGAAUUGACGGGG
RNAcentral lists this ribosomal RNA (413 nucleotides) under uncultured prokaryote. Its description in RNAcentral is "bacterial SSU rRNA". It matches the Rfam family "Bacterial small subunit ribosomal RNA", at positions 505 to 918 of the family's 1533-position model. The record is from RNAcentral.